AGUGAACGCCGGCGGUAGGCCUAACACAUGCAAGUCGAACGGCAGCACAGUAAGAGCUUGCUCUUACGGGUGGCGAGUGGCGGACGGGUGAGGAAUACAUCGGAAUCUACUUUUUCGUGGGGGAUAACGUAGGGAAACUUACGCUAAUACCGCAUACGACCUACGGGUGAAAGCAGGGGAUCUUCGGACCUUGCGCGAUUGAAUGAGCCGAUGUCGGAUUAGCUAGUUGGCGGGGUAAAGGCCCACCAAGGCGACGAUCCGUAGCUGGUCUGAGAGGGUGAUCAGCCACACUGGAACUGAGACACGGUCCAGACUCCUACGGGAGGAAGCAGUGGGGAAUAUUAGACAAUGGGCGAAAGCCUGAUCCAGCCAUACCGCGUGGGUGAAGAAGGACUUCGGGUUGUAAAGCCCUUUUGUUGGGAAAGAAAAGCAGCAGGUUAAUACCCCGCUGUUCUGACGGUACCCAAAGAAUAAGCACCGGCUAACUUCGUG
RNAcentral lists this ribosomal RNA (492 nucleotides) under uncultured bacterium. RNAcentral describes it as "partial 16S ribosomal RNA". It matches the Rfam family "Bacterial small subunit ribosomal RNA", at positions 29 to 507 of the family's 1533-position model. The record is from RNAcentral.